Molecule: long non-coding RNA, 960 nt
Filed under: Homo sapiens (human)
Lineage: Eukaryota; Metazoa; Chordata; Mammalia; Primates; Hominidae
Description: HSALNT0395855
Source: RNAcentral
AAAGCGCAGGUCCCCGCCUCGGCAGCCACGGGACACCUGCAUCUGCCAACAAGACUGGAAGCAGAAAGGGACAGAGACGGCGAAGUUUGACGGUCUGGAAAGCAGAGACCAGCAGGGCUGACUGCUUGGGAGCACCAAAUAUCCGGACAGCGCCUCUCGGGAGGUCCGAGAAGAGAACCGCGAUCUGUUUCAGCACCGGGGCUCAGGACAGUUCCCAGCGGGCUCCGUUUCGUCUCCAGAACCCUGGACAGCUCCUCCAGUAGAGACGGGGUUUCACCAUGUUGGCCAGGCUGGUCUCAAACUCUUGACCUCUUCAUCCGUCCACCUCAGCCUCCCAAAGUGCUAGGAUUACAGGCGUGAGUCACUGCGCCUGGCCCAAGUCCGGAAUUUUCAACAGGACAUGGGUGUUACUGUGCCCAUGUGACAUUUGGGGAACCCAAGGCCCUGAGAAAGGCAGAAAAAUAACCCACGCAGGGACUCUCAGCCCACAAGUGAAGCUGAGAACCGGGAAUGGAAAACAGGGAGGCAGCACAGAGGCAGGAAACUCAGGUGUCAUAGCUUGGCUCAGCUUGGAAUGCACUCCCUCCACCUCCAACCAGAGCUCCCCACAACUGACCCUGCCUUCUUCUGCAAGCUCCAUUUCAUCAAGGGAAACGAUCCUUAUUGCCUCACCAUUUCCCACGUGAAGUCUGUAUUGACAUUCUCAUAGACCUGGGAUAUUGUGUCUGCAGCACAUAGUCCAAUUAUUUUCAUGUUAUCUACUGACAGGUCUAUUUGUCUCCCUGUUACACUGUGAGCUCCGUGAGGGCAGAAACAAUGUUAGUAUUUUCACUGCUGUGUCCCCAGCGCCUGGUCCGGGGCCCGGCACACAGCAGGCAUAUAAUAAGCAUGUGUUGAAUCAAUAAAGGCAUCAAAGAAUAAACCAAUACAUCAAUCAAUAAAUGAAUGAAUGGCCUCAGC